RNAcentral lists this ribosomal RNA (393 nucleotides) under Triticum aestivum (bread wheat). RNAcentral describes it as "partial small subunit ribosomal RNA". The record is from RNAcentral. Lineage: Eukaryota; Viridiplantae; Streptophyta; Magnoliopsida; Poales; Poaceae.
AUGAAUGAGGAAGUCGUACAGUGGCGUUUCACGGGUUUUUAUGGUCAUCCGAACUGGAGCGAUCGCAAUUUAUCUUGGGAGGAUAUUCGUAAUUUGCAUCAUAAGGGUAAUCAUCCAUGGGUGGUUCUAGGAGAUUUUAAUGAGAUUUUAUAUUCCUCGGAGAAAGAGGGGGGCAAUGUGAGACCAAAUGGAAUGAUGAAGGAUUUUCAUGAUUGUCUAGCAGAAUGUGGCUUGGAUGAUAUGGGGUUCAUAGGCGACCCCUUUACAUGGAGGAGAGGUGAGAUUAGGGAACGUCUUGACCGUGCAAUAUGUAAUGUACAAUGGGCGCAUAAAUUUCCUCGGGCGGCUGUGAUUAAUGAAAACCAUGUACAUUCUGACCACCGGCCGUUAGUU